CACCUGGUAGCACACGGUGUGCAUCUGCCCUCAUUCCCUGGAUUGUCGCUCUGUCAGUAGGCAGAAGACCCCCGUUCGACUCGGGGCCGGGUGA
Mycena vulgaris is the source of this 94-nucleotide non-coding RNA. The record is from the annotation of a GenBank genome assembly. NCBI's taxonomy places the organism in Eukaryota, Fungi, Basidiomycota, Agaricomycetes, Agaricales, Mycenaceae.